This 549-nucleotide ribosomal RNA is filed under the name uncultured bacterium. RNAcentral describes it as "bacterial SSU rRNA". It matches the Rfam family "Bacterial small subunit ribosomal RNA", at positions 777 to 1329 of the family's 1533-position model. The record is from RNAcentral.
AAUAGAUACCCUGGUAGUCCACGCCCUAAACGAUGCUCACUAGGUGUUGGGGAAGCGAUUCCUUGGUACCGUAGCUAACGCGUGAAGUGAGCCGCCUGGGGAGUACGGCCGCAAGGUUAAAACUCAAAGGAAUUGACGGGGACCCGCACAAGCGGUGGAUGAUGUGGAUUAAUUCGAUGCAACGCGAACAACCUUACCUACCCUUGACAUGUCCGGAAGCCUGCUGAAAGGUGGGGGUGCUCGAAAGAGAACCGGAACACAGGUGCUGCAUGGCUGUCGUCAGCUCGUGUCGUGAGAUGUUGGGUUAAGUCCCGCAACGAGCGCAACCCUUGUCCCUAGUUGCUACGCAAGGGCACUCUAGGGAGACUGCCGGUGACAAACCGGAGGAAGGUGGGGAUGACGUCAAGUCCUCAUGGCCCUUAUGGGUAGGGCUUCACACGUCAUACAAUGGACGGUACAGAGGGUUGCCAACCCGGCGAGGGGGGAGCCAAUCCCAGAAAGCCGUUCGUAGUCCGGAUCGCAGUCUGCAACUCGACUGCGUGAAGUCGG